UGUCAUACUGCUGCUGAAACACAGGAAUUUCCCUAUUGUGGAAUCAAUAAAAUCCUGUUUUAUCUUGUAUCUUAAUUUCUUUUGCAGCUUCUGCCACACUGGGAGAAAACCUUUGGCAUUGACCUGUCCUCCCCACAGAUUGGUGUUGUUGAUACUGAUGAUAGAGAGAGAAAAGCACAUCAACAACAACAACAGCAGAACACAGGCAGAAUGGUUGGACCAGGGACUGGACACAGGCAAGACUGUUGUACCAGGGACUGGACACCGGCAGGAUGGUUGGACCAGGGACUGGACACAGGCAGGAUAUUCAAGUGUUGAACUACUGUAUGCUAACUACUGUAUGUACUGUAUGUCUGAAUAUUAAAUUUGAUGUUGUCCUU
Long non-coding RNA from Betta splendens (Siamese fighting fish), 380 nucleotides. RefSeq lists it as uncharacterized. NCBI's taxonomy places the organism in Eukaryota, Metazoa, Chordata, Actinopteri, Anabantiformes, Osphronemidae. The transcript is spliced from 2 exons. The record is from RefSeq and is a predicted model, not a curated record.